Dioscorea cayenensis subsp. rotundata (Guinea yam) is the source of this 1427-nucleotide long non-coding RNA. RefSeq lists it as uncharacterized. The record is from RefSeq and is a predicted model, not a curated record. NCBI's taxonomy places the organism in Eukaryota, Viridiplantae, Streptophyta, Magnoliopsida, Dioscoreales, Dioscoreaceae. The transcript has 5 exons.
UAACAUUAGUUCUUCCAUCAUUAUCAUCAUCAUUUAAGGCUGUGUUCAUGCAUGCAGAUGGAGUGGAUAAUUGGCAUCAUUGGUGCAAUAGGUAAUGGCAUGUCCUCAUCUUCACCUUCAUUCUUCAUUGAAAAGAUCAACAAGAAUGCAGUGGCUUUGCUCUACAUAGCUUGUGGAUGGUUUGUAGCUGCUUUCUUGGAGGGAUAUUGUUGGGCGAGAACCGGCCAAAGUCAAGCAUCAUGAAUGCGAAACCGAUAUUAAGACAAGAUAUAGCAUACCUUUGAUCUUAAAAUUCCAUCGACAACAGAGGUUGUCACUAUAUCUCUAGUGAUGGCCUUGUCAUCCAAGAUGUUAUUAGCGAAAAGAUACCGAACUUCUUGAUGAACUUCACAGUAUUUAUCGGAGGAUACACCGUAGGAUUUUUCAUGUUGUGGAGACUAGCUUGAUUAUUGCAUUACAAACUGUGUUACUCCUGAUCAUACCUGGAAUCAUGUAUGCUUUAUAGCAUCAAAGAUUAGAGAGGAGUACAACAAGGCUGGCCACAUUGCAGAGCAAGCUAUCUCUAGCAUUAGAACAGUGCACUCUUUUUUCAGGGAAAAGAAGACGGUCGCUGAGUUCUCUGCUGCACUUAAGGGUUUUCUUAAGCUUGGUCUCCGGCAGGGCCUGAUCAAAGGCAUUGCCAUCGGUAGUAACGGUAUCAUCUAUUCGAUUUGGGCCUUCUUGUUGUGGUACUCUAGCAAACUAGUUAUAAACCAUGAUGCGCGUGGUGGAGAACUAUCUUCGGUGUAGGAACUAUUACCAUCGCGGGAGGCAUAUAUAGCAUUCAGAACAUCGCUUUCGAACUUGAAACACCUAGCAGAGGCAAGUGCGGUGACCAGAAGGAUAUCGAAGGUAGUGAACAGAGUACCGAAGAUCGACUUGAAGAACAAUGAGGGUGAGAUACUACAAAGUAUAACUGGAGAAGUGGAAUUCAAAGGCAUUAAGUUUGCCUACCCAUCAAGGCCUGAAACCAUAGUCCUUAAUGAAUUCAAUCUAAAGGUCCUUGUAGGGAAGAUAUAUUGCCAUUGGUUGGAUCAAGUGGCUUAGGAAAAUCAAUAGUGAUUUCAUUGUUACUCUCUAAACAAAUCUCAGUCUGGUUAAUCUCAUUUCCUCAAAAAAUAGACCUAAACUGGCUAUAGCAGCACCAUGAUACCCUACAACAGGGUGAAGACUAUGAAACAUACUCCAAUCUGAGCAAACUCUUGAAUAUUCAUCAAAAAGCUCCCGACACCAUCAAUGGCGACAAAAGUGACUCCAUGAUUCCCAACCGCCGCACCAGCAGCAGUAGGUAUUCCAAAUCCCAUAGCUCCAAAUCCCGCCGAGGUCAACCACUUCAUCACCAAGCGUAACUACUUCGUUCUCUUAUAGGUUUAAUACUGUGCUGCCCA